Molecule: ribosomal RNA, 448 nt
Filed under: uncultured bacterium
Lineage: Bacteria
Description: bacterial SSU rRNA
Rfam family: Bacterial small subunit ribosomal RNA
Source: RNAcentral
UGGGGAAUAUUGGACAAUGGGCGCAAGCCUGAUCCAGCCAUGCCGCGUGAGUGACGAAGGUCUUCGGAUUGUAAAGCUCUUUUUGGCGGGGACGAUAAUGACGGUACCCGCAGAAUAAGCUCCGGCUAACUUCGUGCCAGCAGCCGCGGUAAUACGAAGGGAGCUAGCGUUGUUCGGAAUCACUGGGCGUAAAGCGCACGUAGGCGGAUAGUUAAGUCAGGGGUGAAAUCCUGGGGCUCAACCCCAGAACUGCCUUUGAUACUGGCUGUCUCGAGGUCGAGAGAGGUUGGUGGAAUUCCUAGUGUAGAGGUGAAAUUCGUAGAUAUUAGGAAGAACACCAGUGGCGAAGGCGGCCAACUGGCUCGAUACUGACGCUGAGGUGCGAAAGCGUGGGGAGCAAACAGGAUUAGAUACCCCAGUAGUCCCUGAGCGGGCUGGCAAGGCGCAU